GUACAAAGGAGAGAGCGAGAUGAAGAUAACGGUGGCGAUUGUCCUCUGCGUCUGGUUGUCCUCGGAGUCUCUGCUCAGGGCCGAGGGAGAAACGACUCCAUGUGAGAACUGCACAGACACAUCAAUGAGCAGCCCAGGAGGAAGCACGCCAUCCGCCAGCGGCCCCUCCGGCGGCCCCUCCGGCGGCCCCUCCACCCCUCUGGACUCCUCUCCGACUCCCCAGUCCUCCACCCGUCCCCACAGCCCCACGGCCGCUCCGUCCACUCCGGCUCCAGGGACGUCCAGUCCGGCAGGUCCAGGAACCACAGCGGCAGGAGGGUCGGCCGCCCCGAGCGGAGGCGGCGCUCAGCUGCUGCUUUCUGCCCUCUCCGUCCUGCUCUGCUCCGUCUGGAGCGUCUGAGGAUGGAGGAUGGAGGAUGGAGGAUGGACACCAUCUCGCAUGAUGACAUGAUUCUUUCUUUCCAGCUCACACCUGGAGGUGAAAACCUCCGGACAGAAAAACAUUCAUGGCAAAUGUUGCAUAUGAUUUACAAUGCAAAUAAUAUAAUAUAAUCAUGCCAACAAGAAGCCUUAUUGUUCCCGAAUUACAUCCAAUGCAAAUGAAUUUACUCCAGUGCUUUGUAUCACGAAUCUUUCAGCUUUGUAGCAGUUUGUAUUUUAAUGUACAUUUUUUUUUAAUACAUUGUGAACAGAAAUUAUAUUAUUGAUUGAAAAUGUGGGUCAUUCUUUGUGAGAAAAUGCAGUUUUCAGGCUGUGUCAACAGGUGCAGCAGUGAGAUCUGUCCAACAUGUAAAUAUGAAGAGCAGUGGAGACAGAACCAAACCGAACACAGCAGACAGAUGAUGCAGCGUAAUCAUCAAGUCAAACAGAGGUUUUCCACAAACUUCAACAGUUCCGACUUUCUUCUUUUUAAGUUCUGAGACAUAUUUGAGUAUUUCGCAAAAUUAGAUCAUUUUCUUCGCUUUUUUUAAACUGCAAUCAUCAUAUUGACAUUUCAACGAAUAUUAUCUUAACAUGUGAUGGUUUUAGAUGAAAUUUACAAUUAAACUGCAGUAAAGCAGCUCAAAUGAAGUAUGUAAAGAUGUAAAAACAGGAUGCUGCAGAAAGCCAGUAAGAAAUGCUUUCAAUUUAAAAACAUAUAGAAGCUUCUAUAAAGCUGGACGUCUUUUUUUUUUCCCCUUUCCAACAAAUGUGAUUGUAUAAACAUGUAAUAUUGUGUUGUUUGAGUCCUUUAUACAUCCAAAGAGGGUUUUUAUGAGGCAUCAGACGAGGUUUUCUAUUUUGUUUCACCACUUAUUCAAGAAAAGUUCAUGAAUUUCUUGAUUUGACAUUUCCCCAUAACGGGGUCAGGAGGGGCAGGAACUGCAGCAGCUGGAGGCAAACCCAGCCGAGACCGGGUAUCUCUUACAUCCUCCCCAGGACAGAUUUCCACUGGUGCUUUGUGGAGACUUUGCAUCCGCGGCCCGUCACUGGGUGGAGACUGACCGGAGGCAGGUAUCAGGUGAGAAGCGGGACAACGCCUUAUAAAAGACCGGCCUCCUUAGGCGCCUGCUUUUCAGGAGCCGGACCUUCAAGCAGGGGCCCCACACACACACUCACACACACUCACACACAAGUCUGUGAGCGGCACAGACUUCAAGAAGGAAAAGCAAGUGUAACAUCUGCUGGGAAAAGACAGAAAUCCUGAGCUGUGUGUUCGUCUUCGGAGAGAAAAUCAGCCUCCGUUCAGUAUGAAGUACCUUCUCCUGGGGCUCUUCUCACUGGUGCUGGUGGGAUUCGACGUCGCUCGGUCUCAAGGAGGCAGAGCGACGACGGCGAUGCCUUCUUCAACCAUGGCGGCCACCGCCAACAAUUCCACCCAAAACGGUGGGAUGGGCAGCAGCACCGGCAGCGGCGGCAGCACUAACGGUGGUGGCGGAAGCACCGGCAGCGGAAACACCGGCAGCACCGGCGGCGGCGGCUCCACGAACACCCAGGGAACAACGGGAACCCAGAUGUGGAACACACAGAAACCCAACUCCACCAGCAGCGGCCAGGACCACGUCCUCACCUCCGCUGCCCUGCUGCUGGGCUCCGUGGCUCUGCAGCUCGUCCUCCAGUGAGCUUCAAACCAGACUCAGCUCUCUGUAGCCACUUUCAGUUACAAGAUUCACGUAGAGUCGCAGCCGUUAGAGAGAACGACGCAUUAAACCCGUUGCUUUUUAUCAAACACGACACAGUUAGAAACAUAGCUGAUGAAUGAACUAAUAGAGAAAACUCCUGAAUGUCUUUUCCCGCUUGAAUAUCUGAAACCAAAGAAGAAUUUCCCUGAAAUAUUUAUUCCAAAAGCAGAUUCUUUUCAAUCAACGUUUCCUCCGAGAUGCAGGAAAAUUACUGGAUUUGAAUGAUGUGAAAAGCCUGAAUCUGCAAAACAAAUCAG
Salarias fasciatus (jewelled blenny) is the source of this 2419-nucleotide long non-coding RNA. RefSeq lists it as uncharacterized. The transcript is spliced from 3 exons. The record is from RefSeq and is a predicted model, not a curated record. NCBI's taxonomy places the organism in Eukaryota, Metazoa, Chordata, Actinopteri, Blenniiformes, Blenniidae.